RNAcentral lists this small nuclear RNA (106 nucleotides) under Theobroma cacao (cacao). The record is from RNAcentral. Lineage: Eukaryota; Viridiplantae; Streptophyta; Magnoliopsida; Malvales; Malvaceae.
UCAUUAACAUAACUGACCAUACUAAAAGUCUCAAUGAUACAGAGAAAAUUAGUAUGGCUCCUGCGCAAGGAUGACACACACAAAUCGAGACAUAGUCCAAAUUUGA